Molecule: ribosomal RNA, 403 nt
Filed under: Fusobacteriota bacterium
Lineage: Bacteria; Fusobacteriati; Fusobacteriota
Description: Fusobacteria bacterium partial 16S ribosomal RNA
Rfam family: Bacterial small subunit ribosomal RNA
Source: RNAcentral
UGGGGAAUAUUGCACAAUGGAGGGAACUCUGAUGCAGCGACGCCGCGUGAACGAAGAAGGCUCUCGAGUCGUAAAGUUCUUUUAUAUGGGAAGAUAAUGACGGUACCAUAAGAAAAAGCCCCGGCUAACUACGUGCCAGCAGCCGCGGUAAUACGUAGGGGGCUAGCGUUGUCCGGAAUCACUGGGCGUAAAGGGUUCGCAGGCGGAAAUGCAAGUCAGGUGUAAAAGGCAGUAGCUUAACUACUGUAAGCAUUUGAAACUGCAUAUCUUGAGAAGAGUAGAGGUAAGUGGAAUUUUUAGUGUAGCGGUGAAAUGCGUAGAUAGUAAAAAGAAUACCGGUGGCGAAGGCGACUUACUGGGCUCAUUCUGACGCUGAGGAACGAAAGCGUGGGUAGCAAACAGG